Molecule: long non-coding RNA, 2453 nt
Organism: Acinonyx jubatus (cheetah)
Lineage: Eukaryota; Metazoa; Chordata; Mammalia; Carnivora; Felidae
Exons: 2
Source: RefSeq, a predicted model, not a curated record
CUCUAAGUGGCUCCUUCGCCUCUGGAGGAACAUGACUCAUUCCUUCAUUGGAACCUGAAAGAAGUCCGAGCGUCCGAAGACACUUGGGGAAUGCACUGGAAUUAUACUUGUAAACAUCAAUGCUAGAAGUUUUAAAUAUUAGGAAACCAAUAUGAUAUGGGUUAAAAGUUGAUGGUUGGAGUCGGUAUAUUAGGAUGUGGCCAAAAGAGCAAGGGGUGAAUUGGCAGUCCUUUCUAGAAUGUUCCUUGGGGAAAUCCUUGCUGGCCAAGUGAAGAGUCUUGAGCUGCUGAACUCUGGGUAGCAUAGAUUGUCUUCUUCUUUUGUCCAGGGAGUCCACCACCCCCCUCCAUCCCGACCCCCUGCAUUUCUGACUGCUCUGUGUUUAUACAUGGCCUCAUAAUGGUGUUCCUGCCAGCUUUACUUAGGCUUGCCCCCCCCCCCCCCCCCCCCCGCCCAAGCAGCCUUUGGAUCCAUCUUCUGCACAUGACCAGUGGAAGGAAACCAGUAGAAGGAGUCCUGCAUUAGUGCUGGGAGAUAAAUUGCAUUCCUGCACCUCUUAAAACCCACGUUCUCCACAAUAUAAAAUGGGGCUGGGGAGGGUGCGGUCCUCCAAGACUGGGUUAGCCUUUGCCUUUCAUUGACCUCAGUGGAUGCCACUUAAUGGAAAAAUAUGAUCAGGGUUCACCCUAUGGAAUCAUUGCUUAAUAUUGUAGAUGACUCAUUGGAGCUAGUGUGUUAGAAAAUCACUUCCAGAUGUGUAGCAGAAGCUUUUCCAAAAGGAAGCAAUAAACUCUGGAAAACUGGGUUAGUUUUCGUUUUUCUUUUUAUGAUCUUAGGGCCAGAAUCAAACCUUCCUGUAUAUGGUCGGCCAACAUAUACUUGGAGUUCUUAGUAGCGUGAUGCAUCCAGUUCACUUGCUUUUAGACGGAUUCUCUUUAUUUUUCUAUUUGUUAUUUACGUUUUUCUUUGAAAGAGAGCACGGGCGACCGCCUGUGAGCCGGGGAGGGGCAGAGGGAGAGAGAGAAUCCGAAGCAGGUUCCAUGCUCGGUGCGGAGCCCGAUGUGGGGCUCGAUCCCAUGACUCUGGGAUCAUGGCCUGAGCUGAAAUCAAAAGUCGGACGCUCAACUGACCGAGCCCCCCGGGCGCCCCGAGAUUCUCUUGAAGUGGAUUUUUUACCAGUGUUUGAUUUCUGGAGAUUCUAUCUCCAUGGAUAUCACUCCAGCCAAAAAAUUCACUGGCUUCUUCUGGUCAGUGAAGUUUCAGUUGGGCCCUCUUAAAAGAGGUAAUGUGCUGUCAUCUCCUUGGAGGCAGCAGAUGACAGAUCUUGUAGAUCACGCCACGGAGUCAAAAGGAAAAUAUUUGUUAAGUACCACAGCCUGGAGCCCUUACAAAGGCUGAGCCUGCUCCAACAAGGUGUUCCUGGUAAAUAAAAUCUUAUGUUUUCCGUCCUGCUUGGUUUUUUUUCACAUUUACCUAAUACCGUAUUGUAUUUGUAGCUCUUUAAUGAAUCAAAAAAUGUCUGUCGGCACGAGACUAGGAUCAAAACACGUCUGAAACUUGAGAAGGCCAUCAAAACAGGCAAAGAUCAUAACCAUUACUGUUCAAUCGAAACUUAUGUCCCCGUUCUUUUUGAAGAGUUAAAAAUGCUUAGGGAUUGGUGAAGCUGCCUCAGUGAGUCCCGCAGUGGUUAAGGGCCUGGUCGUCAGUGUUAAAGGGCGCUGCUUGGAAUCCUGACCGUAUUAGGUUUCUGUUGCUGCACAGCAUCUUGUCCCAAAGCGAGCAGCUCGAAAUCACUUAUUUCAGAGUUUCUCUGGGUCAGAAACCCGGGCAGGGUUUUCAGCUGCAGUCUUUCCUCACAGUCCCACAGGUGUUGGCAGGGGCGUUAUCACCUGGAAGCUCAGGGGCCUUCUCCAAGCUCCUUCAGGUUGGCGCAGUUCGGUUCCUUGUGGUUGUAGGACUGACUGGUCCUGUUUUCUUGCUGGCUGUCCUAGCCAUGUGGGCCUUUAUUAGCAUGGCAUUCUGCUUCUAAAAAGCCAGCAGGGGGGCGCCUAGGGGGCCCAGUCGGUUGAGUGUCCGACUUCGGCUCAGGUCAUGAUCUCGCAGUCCACGAGUUCGAGCCUCGCGUCGGGCUCUGUGCUGACAGCUCGGAGCCCGGAGCCUGCUUCGGGUUCUGUGUCUCCCUCUCUCUCCGCCCCUCCCCUGCUCGUGCUCUGUCCCUCCCUGUCUCUUAAAAAAUAAAAUAAAACGUUAAAAAAUUUUCUUUAAAAAGCCAGCAGGAGGGGGCACCUGGGCAGCUCUGUCGGUUGAACGUCCAACUCUUGAGUUCGGCUCAGGUCGCAUGAUCCCAGGCUCGUGGGAUGGAGCCCCACCUCGGGCUCCACAGCACGGAGCCUGCCUGAGAUUCUCCCCCUCUGCCCCUCUCCCCUGCUUGCUCUCUCUCUCUCUCUCUCUCU